CCUACGGGAGGCAGCAGUAGGGAAUAUUGGGCAAUGGACGCAAGUCUGACCCAGCCAUGCCGCGUGCAGGAAGAAGGCGUUAUGCGUUGUAAACUGCUUUUAUACAGGAAGAAACGACUCUUGCGAGAGGCAUUGACGGUACUGUAUGAAUAAGCACCGGCUAACUCCGUGCCAGCAGCCGCGGUAAUACGGAGGGUGCAAGCGUUGUCCGGAUUUAUUGGGUUUAAAGGGUGCGCAGGUGGUUUAUUAAGUCAGUGGUGAAAGACGGUCGCUCAACGAUUGCAGUGCCAUUGAAACUGGUAGACUUGAGUAAAGUAGAGGUGGGCGGAAUUGAUAGUGUAGCGGUGAAAUGCAUAGAUAUUAUCAAGAACUCCAAUUGCGAAGGCAGCUCACUUAGCUUUUACUGACACUCAUGCACGAAAGUGUGGGUAUCAAACAGGAUUAGAUACCCUGGUAGUCCACACUGUAAACGAUGAUAACUAGGUGUCGGCCGAAUCUGGUCGGUGCCACAGCGAAAGCGUUAAGUUAUCCACCUGGGGAGUACGCCGGCAACGGUGGAACUCGAAAUGAAUUGACGG
This 578-nucleotide ribosomal RNA is filed under the name uncultured bacterium. RNAcentral describes it as "bacterial SSU rRNA". It matches the Rfam family "Bacterial small subunit ribosomal RNA", at positions 338 to 916 of the family's 1533-position model. The record is from RNAcentral.